Nerophis ophidion (straightnose pipefish) is the source of this 1500-nucleotide long non-coding RNA. RefSeq lists it as uncharacterized. The record is from RefSeq and is a predicted model, not a curated record. The transcript has 3 exons. NCBI's taxonomy places the organism in Eukaryota, Metazoa, Chordata, Actinopteri, Syngnathiformes, Syngnathidae.
GGUGCGAGCAAAACAAGCGGGAGCGCGCACCGGACUCUCCUUGUAUUGCAGAUCAGCGGCGCUUGCGCUGUCCAUGCAGCUGCCGUGACUUCCCUCAGAGACUGGCGUCAACACACCCGUGGACACACCCCUACGAGUAUCAGUGUGAAGGCAGGGCAGCAGAGUGAAACCUGUGCUUGGGUUCCAUCCGGGUUCACCGGCUUCCUCCCACCUCCUAAAUGGUCCCUAGUGUGUGAAUGUUGUCUAUCUGUGUUGGCCCUGUGAUGAGGUGGUGACUUGUCCAGGUGUACCCCGCCUUCCACCCAAAUGUAGCUGGAAUAGGCUCCAGCACCAUCCGCCACCUCGAGAAGGACAAGCGGUAGGAAAUGGAUGGAUGGAUGGACGAUGGAUAUGGUGGAUGCAGGAUUAUUCCUAAUGACUGAUACUGUACCUAAGAUGAAUAUGAAAUACUGCAAAGUUGUAUUGCCUUGAUCCAAACAAUGAUGUCAAGCUAACACAAAAUGCUGACUGUGCUUGUUUUCGAAGUGAUGGGCGUGGUCCGAAACACCUCUUUAUCUCCAAUAGGGAAAGAUGGCGGCGAAUGUCUUCAGGUUUUUUUCGCCACAAGACCGACAAGCUCCUCGUCUGAGGAAUUUCCAUUCACACUGCCCUCAGCCGAGACCCCCCACACACACACACACUUGUAUUCUUUACCGUCUUGAGACCGGCGAAUAAUGUCUCCCUCUUUAGGACCAGUAUUUUUAGAUAUGUAACGAUGUGUAUUUACAACAUUAAUAAUAUAUACAUACUAUGCAAAUAUAAAAAAGCUUGUUGUGAAAAAAUAGUUGGAAUUUCACAGGAAAAAGGUCAUAAAUUGUCACAAGAAAAACUUAGAACUUUGGCAGUGUUAUAAAACGAGUCUUCAUUUUACUCAAUGCAAGUCAAAAUGUUACAAGAUUAUGUUGAUAGUAUAUAUUUGUACCAUGAAUUGAUUUACGUGGACCCUGACUUAAACAAGUUGAAAAACUUAUUGGGGUGUUACCAUUUAGUGGUCAAUUGUACUGAAUAUGUACUGUACUGUAAAAUCUACUAAUAAAAGUUUCAAUCAAUCAAUCAAAAAGAAAAACCAAACAUUUGUGCAGUAUUAUGAAGUUGGAAUUUUACUGCGAUGAGGUGGCGACUUGUCCCGGGUGUACACCGCCUUCCGCCCGAAUGCAGCUGAGAUAGACUCCAGCGACCCCAAAAGGGACAAGCGGUAGAAAAUGGAUGGAUGGAAGUUGUAAUUUUACUCAAUAACAGUUGCAAUUUUACAAGAAAAGCUUGAAAUGUUGGCAAUUGUAUGAAAAGAGUCAUCAUACUCGACAAGAGUCACAAUUUCAGAAAAUUUAAAAAUGUUGGCAAUACUAUAAAAAUAAUCGGAAAUUUACAUGGCAAAAUUAUGACAAAAGUCAUUUUACUCCAAAAAUGUCACUAUUUUACAAGAACAACAAAAAAAUUGGCAAUAUUGUGAUUCAAGUACAU